GCAAGCGUUGUCCGGAUUUAUUGGGCGUAAAGAGCGUGUAGGCGGCCUGCCCGGUCUGCUGUGAAAACUCGAGGCUCAACCUCGAGAUGUCGGCGGAAACCGUCUGGCUAGAGUCCGGAAGAGGAGAGUGGAAUUCCUGGUGUAGCGGUGAAAUGCGCAGAUAUCAGGAGGAACACCGAUGGCGAAGGCAGGUCUCUGGGCCACUACUGACGCUGAGAAGCGAAAGCGUGGGGAGCGAACAGG
This 243-nucleotide ribosomal RNA is filed under the name uncultured bacterium. Its description in RNAcentral is "partial 16S ribosomal RNA". It matches the Rfam family "Bacterial small subunit ribosomal RNA", at positions 534 to 776 of the family's 1533-position model. The record is from RNAcentral.